Molecule: long non-coding RNA, 221 nt
Organism: Cucumis melo (muskmelon)
Lineage: Eukaryota; Viridiplantae; Streptophyta; Magnoliopsida; Cucurbitales; Cucurbitaceae
Exons: 3
Source: RefSeq, a predicted model, not a curated record
UCUCAGGAAAAAACAAGGAUUAUUUAGAUCAAUAUAUUGUCUACUUGAUUUUUUGGGUUGAAUUUGAUAGAAGAGGAACUACAAGAGAUCUUUGAUAGCAACACUUCCCAAUCUUCAUGGGCUUCCGAACUUGCAAGAAAGAAGAAGCCUCUGUGGAGGGUAAUCAAGAUAUGGAGGUGAAGAUUUAGUAAAAGAAAGAGGUAGUUGAAAAAUCCAUGGAC